UAGGGAAUCUUCCGCAAUGGACGAAAGUCUGACGGAGCAACGCCGCGUGAGUGAUGAAGGUUUUCGGAUCGUAAAACUCUGUUGUUAGGGAAGAACAAGUACCGUUCGAAUAGGGCGGCACCUUGACGGUACCUAACCAGAAAGCCACGGCUAACUACGUGCCAGCAGCCGCGGUAAUACGUAGGUGGCAAGCGUUGUCCGGAAUUAUUGGGCGUAAAGCGCGCGCAGGCGGUUUCUUAAGUCUGAUGUGAAAGCCCCCGGCUCAACCGGGGAGGGUCAUUGGAAACUGGGGAACUUGAGUGCAGAAGAGGAGAGUGGAAUUCCACGUGUAGCGGUGAAAUGCGUAGAGAUGUGGAGGAACACCAGUGGAGAAGGCGACUCUCUGGUCUGUAACUGACGCUGAGGCGCGAAAGCGUGGGGAGCGAACAGG
Molecule: ribosomal RNA, 430 nt
Filed under: uncultured prokaryote
Also listed under: 1 other name
Description: bacterial SSU rRNA
Rfam family: Bacterial small subunit ribosomal RNA
Source: RNAcentral